GUUGAGUCUGGUGAUCCUUACAAAACAUAUAUGGAAGGCUAUGGAUCUUAUCAUGGAUUAGCUUGAAAAUAUAGGAAUUUCAAAUCCAUGUAUACAUCACACUCAUACCCGGUAUGUCACAUAACCAACUUCAGUUGUCCUUGGCUUGUGAAUUCACCAUCCAAAUAUUUUUCUUUUAUUGGAGAGCACAUAAAAUAUAUGGAGAAUCAAUGGCGAAUGUAAAUGAAACACUCCAUGUGUGUCUGCAUGCACAUGAUCAGUACCUCCAUUUUCCUUUGUAGUAAUGAUAGGAUACAAAUGUUACUUGUAAUCAGUUUUUGGCCAUUUCAUACCUAUGUCGUCAAGAUUCUGUUCUAGUGUAGAAUAUUCAGUUAAGUUCAGUUUGGUGACUUUGGUUUGCAUUUGUCCCAGAUUCUGUUCUGGUAUAGAAUAUUUAGUUUAGUUUGGUCUGGAUUUGUCCCAGAGGGCCAGUGUUUACAGGUCCAGUGCUUAUGUCAGUUAUUAAUUAGUCAAUAUUUUGUUCUGAUGUAGAAUAUUCAGUUUAGUUGGUCUCCACAGGUCCAGUGCUUAUGUAAGUUAUUAUUUAGUCAAGACUCUGCUCUGAUGCAGAAUAUCUAUUAACUUGCCACUUAAGUUGUUUCUACAAACUAAAAUUCGAACUUUAAAACUGAUCUAGCCAUAGUUUUUGCAGCAAGAAUACCAUGACUUCUUUUAUCUCCUUUUCGAGCUGGAACACUCGGCUAUCAUGAUUUUUCUUUGUAGACUUUCCAUGACUGGACAAAAUGUAUGUUGUGGAGAAAUUAUAAAUCGCCUUAUAAAUUGUUGUAAUGUUGUGCAGAAACUGAACAGGGACAAGAACAUGCAAUUAUAUGUUGUGGUAGAUUUCAAAAGAGACCCAUGGCCCAGAGUAGUUUUGCGCAAAUGAAGG
Molecule: long non-coding RNA, 928 nt
Filed under: Triticum aestivum (bread wheat)
Lineage: Eukaryota; Viridiplantae; Streptophyta; Magnoliopsida; Poales; Poaceae
Description: long non-coding RNA (TAES_LNC001240)
Source: RNAcentral